Molecule: ribosomal RNA, 372 nt
Filed under: uncultured eukaryote
Lineage: Eukaryota
Description: partial 18S ribosomal RNA
Rfam family: Eukaryotic small subunit ribosomal RNA
Source: RNAcentral
CAAUAGCGUAUAUUUAAGUUGUUGCAGUUAAAAAGCUCGUAGUUGGAUUUCGGUUGAGAACGGCCGGUCCGCCGUUUGGUGUGCACUGGCUGGUUUCAACUUCCUGUAGAGGACGCGCUCUGGCUUCACGGCUGGACGCGGAGUCUACGUGGUUACUUUGAAAAAAUUAGAGUGUUCAAAGCGGGCUUACGCUUGAAUAUUUCAGCAUGGAAUAACACUAUAGGACUCCUGUCCUAUUUCGUUGGUCUCGGGACGGGAGUAAUGAUUAAGAGGAACAGUUGGGGGCAUUCGUAUUUCAUUGUCAGAGGUGAAAUUCUUGGAUUUAUGAAAGACGAACUUCUGCGAANGNAUUUGCNAAGGAUGUUUNCAUUA